CCAAUUUAACUUGGCAAAUUAACUUAGAUGCUUCAAAAUUGAAAACCAGUAUAUUCUAAUGUAGUUUGAAUUUAAGUCUUUAUUAGUAAGGAUGCACUUAACAUUUGUUCAGGAGAAGGGAAUAGAAUUUUCUCCUGCAGUUGUCAUUUGCGUAAUUCAUUUUUCUAGCCUUUUCUCAGGCUAAUGAUAUUCCACACCUUGAUAGGGCCUUUAUUUGUUUAUUUGCCAUAAUAUAGGGUGAUACCUUGGAGAAAAUUAAAUUAGAUGUUCAUAUUUAAUAUCCCAAAAGUAUUUGACUUGUCUUCUGUGUUUCCUUAAACAGAAUCAUUUCCAUUUCCUGUGCAGGUGAUAAGUAUGAUGCUUCCAUAAUACAUUUGGAUGUUUUCAGCUACGUUUGACUUCUGAGCCGUGGGGUUCCUCCACAUGUUGGCUGAACUUUGUCCUUGCACAUCUCCAGGCUCAUCUGCAAGUCUUACGGAGAGGGGGUUUCGUGUAUGACCAAGAGCUGGAGCAUUACGGCAAGUUAGGAAAUGAAUAACACAAGUAUAAAGAAAACGAAUCUCCAGUUCAUAAUGGAGCUACCGUACUGACUAUUGGAAGGAGGAGAUCCUGAAGAUAGAGAGGUUGGCUUGCUGCUUACUUUGCAGCUGUUGCAGGGAUUCACAUGGAAUGGAGGACUCUGUAUUACUCUGGAUGAUAUUUUUGAUAAUUUAUUCAUGUGCUGUUUCAUUUUCAAAAACCUAACAUUGGUGUUAAAGAAUGAAUCUAAGAUUCUUGAAGAAAAGCUGCUGUCUUCCCACGCUAUGCAGAUUCAGCUAUCGGUCUGAAAUUUCCUGUGGUCUGUUCAAUCUAGAUGCAAAGGACAUGGAAAAAUCAAGUGCUCAAGUGCUUUAAAUAUGUUUUGGAUGUUCCUAUUUAUAGACUAUAGUAUUUUCCGAUUAAAAUUCUCAGUUGUCCUUCAGAAGAAGGUUAUGCACUUCUUGAUUAUUAGUUUUAAAUGCUUAGUUUUGUAGAGUAUUUCCACACAUUUUCUGUUGUAAUCCAAGUAAAGGAAAAGAUCAAUUCUAUAUGUUGACUUUUUUUCUAAAAUGUCUUUAUUGGGUUGAAUGAAUGUUUAUACCUGAAAAAGUAGUCUCCAGAAAAAUCCCUUUCUCCAUCAAAGAAAUUCUUCUGGCAAUCCAAUGAUUAGAACAGGUUUAAAAUCACUCUUUAAUGUGACCGUGUUAUAUUUGGGGGAGAGGAAAGACUUGACAUGUAUAUAUAUGUAUGUAUUUUAAUUCUCUACAUUCACUACCUCUGGAAUAGAACAUUUUCUCCUCAAUAAAUCUAUUAGCUCAACUCACAUACAAGAAACAAUCGCCUUAAUUGGCAGAGCAUUCGUUAUAGGUUUAAAUAUUUGAUUUGUGUAAUGAAGGAUGACAUCCAGUUUUCACAGAGUUCUUACAUUUAAGUAGACUGAACACGGCCGAGUUGCCUCGCCACUGGGAGAUUCCUUCUUGUGGCCUUUGCGGUGGCUGUGGGGACGCGGAAGGAUUCCUCUGUGGCAGGCAGGCCUCUGGCUUCUGGUGUGAACACUGCAAAGGAGUGAGUCUGACCAGAGACAGCCCUCAGCUCGGGGCCUGGGGAGGUUCACAGAUGCGGGUGCCGCUUCUGGAGACUGCUCCAUCCACUUCUAUAGUUCUUACAAAGAAUCACAGCGCUAUGAUGGAUUACUAAGCUCAGAUCGUAAUAUGACAAAGUGGUUUUAUUAGGCUAGAGUAUUUCUUUUUAUUUUUAUAUUUAAUUAAACUCUGUAUUUUGAGAUGAUUAUAGAUUUCACAUGCAGUUGUACUAAAUAAUGGAGAGAUGCCUUGUACCCUUUACCCAGUUUCCCCCAAUAGUAACAUCUUACAAUAUAUAGGACAGUAUCCCAACCUGGACAUUGACAUUGACACAGAUACAGAACAUUUCUUUCAUCACAAGAAUUCCUCAUAUCGCCCUUUUAUAUUCAUACUCACUCAUUUUCAACCCCUCUACCUAACCCUAACAACAACUAGCCUCUUCUCCAGUUCUAUAAUUUUGUCUUUUCAAGAAUGUUACAUAAGUGGAAUCAUAUAGUAUGUAAUCUUUUAGGAUUGACUUUUCUCACUCAGCAUAAUUUUCCAGAGAUUUAUUUUGCACAUAUCAACAGUUUGUUCUUUUUGAUAUUUGGGUGGUAUCCUAUGAGUGACUGGCCUGUGUUUUGUAGCCAUUCACCAGUUGGGGCAGGAUUGCUUCCAGUUUUUGACUAUUAUGAAUAAAACUGCUAUAAACAUUUGUGUACAGGUUUUUGUGUGAAUGUAAGUUUUCAUUUUUCUGGGAUAAAUGCCCAGGAGUGCAAUUGUGGUUCAUAUGAUAAUUACAUAGAGUAUUUCUUUUUAAGAGUAGAAUUAAUGUUUUGUGUGUGGAAGGGAAGAUGGAGGACAUCUACAUUUUUGCAGUGUUUUUGCUUUAACUGGAUUUGCUUAGGAUUUUAAAACAUGCAGACUCUCAUAAAUAACUUAUAGCCAGCAUCAGAAAAAAUUUUCAACAGUCUAUUUUUUUAAUAAACAUACUUCUUUAAAAAUUGUUUUUUCUUUGGAGGUAAACAAUUCCUAUGUAAGGAAGUAAAAGGAGACAUAUAUUAUAGAAAAGGUGUUGCAAAGUGGACAGGUUGCUUGGAGAAAUUGGGAAUUUCCCAAGUGUUAAUAAAAACAUUCAAGGAUA
This is a non-coding RNA of Miniopterus natalensis, 2724 nucleotides long. The record is from RefSeq and is a predicted model, not a curated record. Lineage: Eukaryota; Metazoa; Chordata; Mammalia; Chiroptera; Miniopteridae.